Molecule: small nuclear RNA, 26 nt
Filed under: Arabidopsis thaliana (thale cress)
Lineage: Eukaryota; Viridiplantae; Streptophyta; Magnoliopsida; Brassicales; Brassicaceae
Description: snRNA_17309
Source: RNAcentral
CCUUUUAAGAUCGGGUUGCGGUUUAA